RNAcentral lists this ribosomal RNA (135 nucleotides) under uncultured eukaryote. Its description in RNAcentral is "partial 18S ribosomal RNA". It matches the Rfam family "Eukaryotic small subunit ribosomal RNA", at positions 1299 to 1458 of the family's 1831-position model. The record is from RNAcentral.
UGGUGGAGUGAUUUGUCUGGUUAAUUCCGAUAACGAACGAGACUCUGGCCUACUAACUAGUGAUCGGAUUUUUCAGUCUGAUUGACUUCUUAGAGGGACAAGCAGUGUUCAGCUGCAUGAAAAAGAGCAAUAACA